Molecule: ribosomal RNA, 492 nt
Filed under: uncultured bacterium
Lineage: Bacteria
Description: partial 16S ribosomal RNA
Rfam family: Bacterial small subunit ribosomal RNA
Source: RNAcentral
GAUGAACGCUAGCUACAGGCUUAACACAUGCAAGUCGAGGGGAAACGACAUCGGAAGCUUGCUUUUGAUGGGCGUCGACCGGCGCACGGGUGAGUAACGCGUAUCCAACCUGCCCAUCACUUGGGAAUAACCUUGCGAAAGUAAGACUAAUACCCAAUGAUAUCCCACGAAGGCAUCGGAAUGGGAUUAAAGAUUUAUCGGUGAUGGAUGGGGAUGCGUCUGAUUAGCUUGUUGGCGGGGUAACGGCCCACCAAGGCAACGAUCAGUAGGGGUUCUGAGAGGAAGGUCCCCCACAUUGGAACUGAGACACGGUCCAAACUCCUACGGGAGGCAGCAGUGAGGAAUAUUGGUCAAUGGGCGAGAGCCUGAACCAGCCAAGUAGCGUGCAGGAAGACGGCCCUAUGGGUUGUAAACUGCUUUUAUAAGGGAAUAAAGUGGGUCACGUGUGACUUUUUGCAUGUACCUUAUGAAUAAGGACCGGCUAAUUCCGUG